Parus major (Great Tit) is the source of this 462-nucleotide long non-coding RNA. RefSeq lists it as uncharacterized. The record is from RefSeq and is a predicted model, not a curated record. The transcript is spliced from 2 exons. Lineage: Eukaryota; Metazoa; Chordata; Aves; Passeriformes; Paridae.
CACAACCUAUUCUCACCAUGCCUGUGUGAUUUCCUGUGCUGCUGCCUGCAGACAGAUGAGGCACGGCGCUGGUCUGCCAAGGAGCUCCUGCAGCAUCCAUUUGUAACAUCAGCCAAGCCAGCAUCCACUCUGUCACCACUCGUCAUUUCAGUGAAGAAGAAGAAGUGUGACAGAAGACACUGUCUUCAUAACUAGUGUAGAGUAGAACUACAUAGGAUAGGAUAGGAUUGAUAGCAUAGGAUUGACAAGUAGUUUUGUAAGGCAGGUUUUUCAGGUAGUAGGAUUGUAGAGUAGGAUUAUAGAGUAGGGUUCCUGAGUAGGAGGACUGUAGUGUAGGAUGUAGCGUAGGAUGGUAGACUAGGAUUAGAGAGUAGGAUUCCUGAGUAGGAGGACUGUAAUGUAGGAUGUUGUGUAGGAUUGUAGAGUAGGAUUGCAAAUAAAUAAAGUUUUCUAAAACAUCAA